ACCACUUCUCCUCAUCCCGUUCAUCUCUCUCUAGAGGCAGAGCGCACCCAUUUCAAAACCACAGUUCUCGUCGCCCGUCUGUUCUUCCAAAUCCUCCAACCCCCAAAUCAGGUUCUCGCACCAGUUGGGAUCCCGCGGGCGUAGCCGUGUUCGGUGAAUCCGUGGCCGAUUUUCCGCCGGAGUUGGAGCAACCACCAGUUCGGCGACCAGGGGCGUGCGACCACCAGUUGCGUGAGGCGUUUCCGGGAAGAGGAUAAGCGGAUGGUAGCCAGGUUGCGGUGCAACGAGGAGCAGGUCGGCGGGGGGAAGCAGUAGACGAGGCGCUUCAGGGGUGGAACAGCCGUCGCCAGCGCCGUGCCGUUGGUGCAGAGGGCAGAGUCAUGCUGAGGGCUACCAAUCCUUCCCUUCCGUAGUCCUUCAUCUGAAAACAGAUAGCCGAGACAAGUCAAAAGUCAAAACAGGAUGGACCUCCUGGAUCAAGUCAUGAUGACAUUGCAUCUCAUGGCAAUGAAGAGCAUCAAACAAAGCAAAUAAUUUGGUACAAGUGUGAGAGAACUAAAGCAAUUAUUGCACGGGGGCAACAUCCUGAUGAUAUUAUUACUAACGAGAAUAGUAACGAGAGCCAAGCUGCAGAUGCUGGAAAUGCAAAUGUGAAAGGUGCAGACGUUGACCAACCUCCAAAACUAAAACGCCAGAAGGCGGGAGGAACUGAGGACUUUCUUUGUCCUUUCUUUCUUGCAGGAUGAAAUUCCAACAUUUUUUUGGAUCGUGCUGAAGGAUAUCCUAUAAUCAAGGAUGGAUGGGGGCAAAAGUGGGGAAAAGAGGAGCAAAUCUUGAGCUGACCUGCUGUUUACUUUGAAUUCUCCUACAACUGGUUUGAUUUCUUGCUUAUCUUGUGUGAUUCCUGCUUUUUACUUUGAUCCUUGUAACAUCCCAAAAUUCUAAAU
Triticum dicoccoides is the source of this 947-nucleotide long non-coding RNA. RefSeq lists it as uncharacterized. The transcript has 5 exons. NCBI's taxonomy places the organism in Eukaryota, Viridiplantae, Streptophyta, Magnoliopsida, Poales, Poaceae. The record is from RefSeq and is a predicted model, not a curated record.